This 253-nucleotide ribosomal RNA is filed under the name uncultured bacterium. Its description in RNAcentral is "partial 16S ribosomal RNA". It matches the Rfam family "Bacterial small subunit ribosomal RNA", at positions 524 to 776 of the family's 1533-position model. The record is from RNAcentral.
UACGUAGGUGACAAGCGUUGUCCGGAUUUACUGGGCGUAAAGAGCGCGCAGGCGGUCGAUCAAGUCGAGUGUGAAAGCCCCCGGCUCAACUGGGGAGGGUCAUUCGAUACUGAUCGACUCGAAGGCAGGAGAGGGUAGUGGAAUUCCUGGUGUAGCGGUGAAAUGCGCAGAUAUCAGGAGGAACACCGGUGGCGAAGGCGGGUCUCUGGGCUGACACUGACGCUCAUGCACGAAAGCGUGGGGAGCAAACAGG